GAUGAACGCUAGCUACAGGCUUAACACAUGCAAGUCGAGGGGCAGCGGGAUUGAAGCUUGCUUCAAUUGCCGGCGACCGGCGCACGGGUGAGUAACGCGUAUCCAACCUUCCGUACACUCAGGGAUAGCCUUUCGAAAGAAAGAUUAAUACCUGAUGGUAUGAUGAGAUUGCAUGAUAGCAUCAUUAAAGAUUUAUCGGUGUACGAUGGGGAUGCGUUCCAUUAGGUAGUAGGCGGGGUAACGGCCCACCUAGUCUUCGAUGGAUAGGGGUUCUGAGAGGAAGGUCCCCCACAUUGGUACUGAGACACGGACCAAACUCCUACGGGAGGCAGCAGUGAGGAAUAUUGGUCAAUGGCCGAGAGGCUGAACCAGCCAAGUCGCGUGAAGGAAGAAGGAUCUAUGGUUUGUAAACUUCUUUUAUAGGGGAAUAAAGUGGAGGACGUGUCCUUUUUUGUAUGUACCCUAUGAAUAAGCAUCGGCUAACUCCGUGCCAGCAGCCG
RNAcentral lists this ribosomal RNA (500 nucleotides) under uncultured bacterium. RNAcentral describes it as "bacterial SSU rRNA". It matches the Rfam family "Bacterial small subunit ribosomal RNA", at positions 28 to 517 of the family's 1533-position model. The record is from RNAcentral.